Long non-coding RNA from Aphis gossypii (cotton aphid), 374 nucleotides. RefSeq lists it as uncharacterized. The record is from RefSeq and is a predicted model, not a curated record. The transcript has 3 exons. NCBI's taxonomy places the organism in Eukaryota, Metazoa, Arthropoda, Insecta, Hemiptera, Aphididae.
CGUUUAACAAAAAUUGAUCGGACACACUUUUGCUAGUAUUGUGUUUUGUGAUUUAUUUUUUAUUUUUAUGAGUUAUGUUGGAAUAGCCACAAAUUAUUAGUCUACAUUUAAGAGUUGAAACUGAUAUAAUAAGUUAUACAGCAUACUAUCUUCCUCGAAAAACGAGGGGAGAUGAUAUAAACGCAAUAAAACAAAAUAAGUGUUGUCUUCAAGUAAAUGUUACAUGGUCAUUAUGAAAAAAAAAACUACGAUUAGUUUUUAUAGAUUCUGCAUUAAUACGUCUCUACUCUUUAAUAGUUAAAUUGUUUAAUGAUUUGCAAAUAUCGCGCUUAAACUGUAUACAAGCAUAUAUACGUAUGUAUGAUGAAACUAAC